UUGGUGGCUCAGUGGUUAGAGCAUUGGCCUUAGCACCAGUGGGUCGCAGGUUCAAUUCCUGGCCAA
Molecule: non-coding RNA, 66 nt
Organism: Myotis brandtii (Brandt's bat)
Lineage: Eukaryota; Metazoa; Chordata; Mammalia; Chiroptera; Vespertilionidae
Source: Rfam